AGCGGAAGUGGGUUGCUGUUGAGGCGGCGGCGUCUUUCUCGAGGGGCUCUCCUGGGCUUCUGAAGAAGGAGCCUCUCUGGAGUGCGGCGGAGGCGGCGCCUGCGAACCUAACUAGCUCCAGGUUAGGCCGGGCUUUGCGGGAAAGCAGCGGACUUGAAAAUACUGGAAAUCUGUCUGGAUCCAAAUUCUUUUGCAAGCCAGAUGAGUAACCAGAGGGCAUGAAAGAGAAAGCGUCGUGGUGGAGCAAUAAAUUCUAGACAAGCCCAGAAGCGAACUCGGGAAGCAACCUCCACCCCAGAGAUUUCCUUGGAAGCAGAACCCAUAGAACUCGUGGAAACUGCUGGAGAUGAAAUUGUGGACCUCACUUGUGAAUCUUUAGAGCCUGUGGUGGUUGAUCUGACUCACAAUGACUCUGUUGUGAUUGUUGACGAAAGAAGAAGACCGAGGAGGAAUGCUAGGAGGCUGCCCCAGGACCAUGCUGACAGCUGCGUGGUGAGCAGUGACGAUGAGGAGUUGUCCAGGGACAGAGACGUGUAUGUGACUACCCACACUCCCAGAAAUGCCAGGGAUGAGGGCGCUGCAG
Molecule: small RNA, 583 nt
Filed under: Pongo abelii (Sumatran orangutan)
Lineage: Eukaryota; Metazoa; Chordata; Mammalia; Primates; Hominidae
Description: processed transcript
Source: RNAcentral